UGAGGAAUAUUGGACAAUGGAUGGAAAUCUGAUCCAGCCAUGCCGCGUGCAGGAAGACGGCCCUAUGGGUUGUAAACUGCUUUUGUAUGGGAGCAAUAAGGACUACGUGUAGUUUGAUGAGAGUACCAUACGAAUAAGCAUCGGCUAACUCCGUGCCAGCAGCCGCGGUAAUACGGAGGAUGCGAGCGUUAUCCGGAUUUAUUGGGUUUAAAGGGUGCGCAGGCGGGAUGUUAAGUCGGCGGUGAAAUUUUGCAGCUCAACUGUAAAAGUGCCUUCGAUACUGGCCUUCUUGAGUGUGGAUGAAGUAGGCGGAAUUUGUGGUGUAGCGGUGAAAUGCUUAGAUAUCACGAGGAACUCCGAUUGCGCAGGCAGCUUACUAAACUACAACUGACGCUCAUGCACGAAGGCGUGGGGAUCAAACA
This 422-nucleotide ribosomal RNA is filed under the name uncultured bacterium. RNAcentral's name for it is "bacterial SSU rRNA". It matches the Rfam family "Bacterial small subunit ribosomal RNA", at positions 355 to 774 of the family's 1533-position model. The record is from RNAcentral.